RNAcentral lists this ribosomal RNA (833 nucleotides) under uncultured Gammaproteobacteria bacterium. RNAcentral's name for it is "bacterial SSU rRNA". It matches the Rfam family "Bacterial small subunit ribosomal RNA", at positions 8 to 829 of the family's 1533-position model. Lineage: Bacteria; Pseudomonadati; Pseudomonadota; Gammaproteobacteria. The record is from RNAcentral.
AGAGUUUGAUCCUGGCUCAGAUUGAACGUUGGCGGCAGGCCUUAAACAUGCAAGUCGAGCGGAAACGAUGGGAGCUUGCUCCCAGGCGUCGAGCGGCGGACGGGUGAGUAACGCGUAGGAAUCUACCCAGUAGCGGGGGAUAGCCCGAGGAAACUCGGAUUAAUACCGCAUACGCCCUAAGGGGGAAAGGGGGGGAACUCUUCGGAGACCUCUCACUAUUGGAGGAGCCUGCGUUGGAUUAGCUAGUUGGUAGGGUAAAGGCCUACCAAGGCGACGAUCCAUAGCUGUUCUGAGAGGAAGAUCAGCCACACUGGAACUGAGACACGGUCCAGACUCCUACGGGAGGCAGCAGUUGGGAAUAUUGCACAAUGGGCGCAAGCCUGAUGCAGCCAUGCCGCGUGUGUGAAGAAGGCCUUAGGGUUGUAAAGCACUUUCAGUAGGGAGGAAUCAACCAAAUUAAUACUUUGGUGAAAUGACGUUACCUACAGAAGAAGAUCCGGCUAACUCCGUGCCAGCAGCUGCGGUAAUACGGAGGGAUCAAACGUUAAUCGGAAUUACUGGGCGUAAAGCGCGCGUAGGUGGUUUUUUAAGUGGGAUGUGAAAGCCCCGGGCUUAACCUGGGAACUGCAUUCCAAACUGGAGAACUAGAGUACGAUAGAGGGGGGUAGAAUUCAGAGUGUAGCGGUGAAAUGCGUAGAUAUUCUGAGGAAUACCGGUGGCGAAGGCGGCCCCCUGGAUUGAUACUGACACUGAGGUGCGAAAGCGUGGGGAGCAAACAGGAUUAGAUACCCUGGUAGUCCACGCCGUAAACGAUGUCUACUAGCCGUUGGGAG